RNAcentral lists this ribosomal RNA (253 nucleotides) under uncultured bacterium. Its description in RNAcentral is "partial 16S ribosomal RNA". It matches the Rfam family "Bacterial small subunit ribosomal RNA", at positions 524 to 776 of the family's 1533-position model. The record is from RNAcentral.
UACGUAGGUGGCAAGCGUUGUCCGGAUUUACUGGGCGUAAAGAGCGCGCAGGCGGUCGUUUAAGUCGAAUGUGAAAGCCCCCGGCUCAACUGGGGAGGGUCAUUCGAUACUGAUCGACUCGAAGGCAGGAGAGAGAAGUGGAAUUCCCGGUGUAGUGGUGAAAUGCGUAGAUAUCGGGAGGAACACCAGUGGCGAAGGCGACUACCUGGCCUGUUCUUGACGCUGAGGCGCGAAAGCUAGGGGAGCAAACGGG